This 1409-nucleotide long non-coding RNA is filed under the name Homo sapiens (human). RNAcentral's name for it is "HSALNT0127968". The record is from RNAcentral. Lineage: Eukaryota; Metazoa; Chordata; Mammalia; Primates; Hominidae.
AGUAAAAAACAAAGUACAACAAACAAACAAAAAAGAUCCAUGGAGUUGAGUCAGACAAGUAAUCAGAUUCUUAAAAUCCAAUAGAAUGAGUUCUCCAACGCACACAACAAAAUGUUGUUCAUCAGAAUACCGUAGGAGAGCAAAGGAAAGGCUGAUGCCUUGGAAAAAUCUGGAAGGAAUUCACAGAGGAAGUAAGCUUUGAGCUGGAUUGAAAUACAUGGCAUUGCUUGGGAGAAAAUGAGAAAACCAAGGAAAUAUUCGCUGUAAAGUAUUGAGACGUGAAAGAGUGGCAAGCUGGGCAAGCUGGCACAUGGAAUGGGUGGAUCAUUAGUAGAAAAUGCCAUUAAUGUAACAGGCCAAUUAUGUCUCUGAAAAUGGCUGCUCCAUACCUAAUUCUAAAUAAUAAACAGAGUGUCUUAUACAUUAAUAAAUUGACCUAGGUAAUAAUUAUCAUCUUUUUCUUUAUCGUCAUCAUUGAUAUCAUCAGGACCACUUACAAUAUACCAGGCUCAGCUGUUGCAGAGAAGUAAUGAUUCACACGAAAAUUUAAAAUGGAAAGAUUGUCCUCUCCAAUCGGCCCCACUUCAUAAUUCCCAACUCAACAAAGAUUGCAUUUUAGAAACAUGCAACUGUGCAGAUGUUUAAAAUGAAGGCCAUAAGCUCUAAAAUCAUUGCCAUUUUAUUUAAAUAUCAAACAGCUCAAAAUUUGUCUGUGACAAAAAUAAUUUAAAUGUUUUGGUAAAAAUAUAAAAUAUUAAGCAUUCGGUUUUCCACUUUUGGAAACUGAGAGAGAAGUUAUGGAAGCUGAAUAUUGGUCAUGAAAGAGACUGUCAUAUAAAAGAUAUGUUAUACCCAUCUCUAAGACUUUUAGAUAUUGUAGUAGAAUUAAUGAAAAUUAUUCCAGAGCAGAGAAUAUACAGUACAGUGUCAGUAAUUAUGCAUGCUGCUACUUCAGUAUACUACUUAUCCAUUCCCCUGUUGAAAAUACUUCAGUAUUUUACUUAUCCAUUCCCCUGUUGAAGAACAAAAUAAACAGGUUAUAUUUUUGUAAAGACAUAUUGGAUAUAGUAGAAGAAAAGAGACAGAUAGCAGAGAAGGAUAUUCAUGAACAUGGAUCAACAGGCAGAUCCAGUUCAUACAUGGGAAAACACCAUCAAGUUGUGGCCAGAUUACCAAAAAAUAAAAUAAAAUUGCCAAAAAAAGUACGACUCGUGAAGUUGUGAUUCUCAAAAUGUUUCAUUCUAUCUAUUUCUGUAGAGAAACAACAAAUUAAUUGGUUUUAAAAAAAGAAAUGGACUCUAUAGUUUAAGCAGUUUCAGGUUCACAGCAAACUUGAACAGAAAGUACAGAGGAUCCCCAUGUACACCCUUCACACCCAUAGUCAACCUGCCCAACCAUCAACAUCCCAU